This 488-nucleotide ribosomal RNA is filed under the name uncultured bacterium. Its description in RNAcentral is "partial 16S ribosomal RNA". It matches the Rfam family "Bacterial small subunit ribosomal RNA", at positions 28 to 507 of the family's 1533-position model. The record is from RNAcentral.
GACGAACGCUGGCGGCGUGCUUAACACAUGCAAGUCGAACGAAAAUACCAAGAUUGCUUGGUUGAUUAGUGGCGAACGGGGGAGUAACACGUGAGUAACCUGCCCCUUAUUUUAUUGGAUAACUGCUCGAAAGGGUAGCUAAUACGGGAUAUUCUGACCAGCCUGCAUGGGUUGGUUUGGAAAGGUUGUUUUUCUGGUAAGGGAUGGGCUCGGGGCCUAUCAGCUUGUUGGUGGGGUGAUGGCCUACCAAGGCUUUGACGGGUAGCCGGCCUGAGAGGGUGGAGUGUCAAACUAGGACGGAAAUACGGCCCAGACUCCUACGCGAUACAGCAGUAAUGAAUAUUGCACAAUGGGCGCAAGCCUGAUGCAGCGACGCCGAGUGAGGGAUCAAGACCUUCGGGUUGUAAACCUCUUUCGUCAUGGACCAAUUCACUGCUUUUUUUGUGGUCUUAAGGGUACCUGGAUAAGAAGCGCCGGCUAACUACGUG